This is a non-coding RNA of Salmo salar (Atlantic salmon), 1389 nucleotides long. NCBI's taxonomy places the organism in Eukaryota, Metazoa, Chordata, Actinopteri, Salmoniformes, Salmonidae. The record is from RefSeq and is a predicted model, not a curated record.
CAGUCUUCUCCUGAUCCAGAGAGGACUUUCUCCAAGGGCAAAGAGACAUAACUAUGGCGUGUGGACAGAAAGAUGGCUGGAGAGAAAUCAGCAUUGGUCCUCACCGGCCCUGAACUGAAAAACAUCACACAAAAGGCAGUGUCAUGUUGAUAGUGUUCAGGCAGAGUUUGACGCCAGGCCAGAGGGUGGGUGCCAGGUUCAUGACCCUGGCAGGGCUGUGCCAGUCAGUGCUGUGUUGUCGUGUCACUCCGGGCCAGAAGGCUGAUGUGGUCAUGCUCAAUGGGAAACACACCACCUCCAUCACCAUGGCGAUAGGCGAUGAUGCCAACAAUGUGAACCUGAUCAACAGUGAGUGUGAUGGACAGAGAGGUUGGCAGUGAAAUUAUGUCUGUUCGAAGGCAGGUUGUAUUUAACAUGUUUUCUCUCUCCCUCUCCUCUCGCUCGCUCGCUCUCUCUCUCCCUCUCUCCCCCUCUCCCCCUUCUCCUUCCUCUACCAGCUCACAUACGGGUAGGUUUGGCUGGUGUAGAGAGGAGUCAGGCAGUGCAGAAUGCUGACUAUGCCCUGCCCCAGUUCAGCUUCCUAUAGAGACUCCUAUUGGUCCACAGAAGCUGGUCGUACUGCAGCAUCGCUGUCUUCCUGCGCUACUUCCUGUACAAAUCAAAUCAAAUUUUAUUUGUCACCUGCCCCGAAUACAAUUGUGAAAUGCGUACUUACAAGCCCUUAACCAACAGUGCAGUUCAAGAAAGAGUUAAGAAAAUUUUGACCAAAUAAACUAAAAUUUAAAAAUGUAAAUAACAAUAACGAGGCUAUAUACAGAGAGUACCGGUACCGAGUCAAUGUGCUGGGGUACAGGUUAGUAGAGGUAAUGUAGGUAGGGGCUUUGCUCUGGUACACAUCUGGUUCAGCUUCUUCAAUGGCUUCAGUGCUCAGAGAGAUGGUCCAACUGGUCACAUUGGUUUUGCAUCAUAAAUGGAACUGCAACCUUUUUUAACAGACCCCAAUGUUUUUGCCUUUUUCUGGGCUGUUUUCUUCCAGUCUCUGUAUUAGAAUUGGUUCAUCAUCCUGUACGUCUUCUACACCGACAUGCCAGUAGAAUGCCUGGGCUUUUUCGAGCAGGAGAUGAGUUCCGAGGUCAGUCGGAGCUCCAUAAGGUUGGCCAGUGACAGGAGCUGUUCAACCCCUGGCUGCUGACUGCCACCCUGUUCUAUGCCCUCUACACCUCCCCGGUCCUCUUCUUCAUGCCCCUGGGGGGUUUCUAUAACUCUGUUCUGGACUACCAGACCAUGGCCGUUACCGUCACCUUAGCAUUAGAAUUCAUGGAAUGGACGUCAACAGAGGUCUGUGGAGUUUAGCAAUCACUGUUGAUUGUUGUCUAAGGCUGCAGAUUG